UACAGAGGUCCCAAGCGUUACUGAGAAUCACUGGGUUUAAAGGGUGUGUAGGUGGUCCGUUAAGUUCGUUGUGAAAUCCCUGGGCUCAACCCAGGAACUGCUUCGAAUACUGGCGGACUUGAGGCCGGUAGAGGUCACUGGAACAGACGGUGGAGCGGUGAAAUGCGUAGAUAUCGUCUGGAACGCCGGUGGUGAAGACGGGUGACUGGGCCGGUUCUGACCCUGAGGCACGAAAGCGUGGGGAGCGAACUGG
Molecule: ribosomal RNA, 253 nt
Filed under: uncultured bacterium
Lineage: Bacteria
Description: partial 16S ribosomal RNA
Rfam family: Bacterial small subunit ribosomal RNA
Source: RNAcentral